GCGAAUGUAGCUCAAAGGUAGAGCAUUAGACAUGAAAUCUAAAGGUUGUGGGUUCGACUCCCAUCGUUUACAACA
RNAcentral lists this transfer RNA (75 nucleotides) under Bacteroidota bacterium. Its description in RNAcentral is "Bacteroidetes bacterium tRNA-Ser". It matches the Rfam family "tRNA". Rfam says of the family: Transfer RNA (tRNA) molecules are approximately 80 nucleotides in length. Their secondary structure includes four short double-helical elements and three loops (D, anti-codon, and T loops). Further hydrogen bonds mediate the characteristic L-shaped molecular structure. tRNAs have two regions of fundamental functional importance: the anti-codon, which is responsible for specific mRNA codon recognition, and the 3' end, to which the tRNAs corresponding amino acid is attached (by aminoacyl-tRNA synthetases). tRNAs cope with the degeneracy of the genetic code in two manners: having more than one tRNA (with a specific anti-codon) for a particular amino acid; and 'wobble' base-pairing, i.e. permitting non-standard base-pairing at the 3rd anti-codon position. The record is from RNAcentral. Lineage: Bacteria; Pseudomonadati; Bacteroidota.